GAUGAACGCUGGCGGCGUGCUUAAGACAUGCAAGUCGAACGAAGCUCGGGUAGCAAUACUUGAGUUGAGUGGCGAAUGGGUGCGUAACACGUAGGUGACCUGCCCUGAAGCGGGGAAUAACAGUUCGAAAGGACUGCUAAUACCGCAUGUGGUUGCGGGGUUUUGAAGCCCGCAACGAAAGGUCGGCUUGCCGAUCACUUCAGGAGGGGCCUGCGGCCCAUCAGCUAGUUGGAGGGUAAUGGCCUACCAAGGCAACGACGGGUAGGGGACCUCAGAGGGUGACCCC
Molecule: ribosomal RNA, 286 nt
Filed under: uncultured bacterium
Lineage: Bacteria
Description: partial 16S ribosomal RNA
Rfam family: Bacterial small subunit ribosomal RNA
Source: RNAcentral